GUAUGUGAAAUUUGCGGUACAGGUACAGAAGAUGAGUACCAUGCGGUUAUAGCAUGUACGAGGAGUGUUGCCCUCCGCCAAUCCAUGAGGACAUACUGGGACAUCCCUAGGGAAUCUGUACUUACAUACUCUGGUGGGGAUUGGCUACAACUGAUGCUACUGGGACAGCAUAAGGAGAUCAGAACUAAGUUGAUGCUAAUCAUGUGGCAGUCCUGGAACCUAAGAAACAAUGUGAUCCAUGGUGAUGGGAAACAAACG
This 258-nucleotide ribosomal RNA is filed under the name Triticum aestivum (bread wheat). RNAcentral describes it as "partial small subunit ribosomal RNA". The record is from RNAcentral. Lineage: Eukaryota; Viridiplantae; Streptophyta; Magnoliopsida; Poales; Poaceae.